GUCGAAUAAAAUUCUAGGUAGAAUUAUGAUAAUGACAUUAUCUGCCUACAUGUCUUGACCAAAUUACGUGCCAGCAGUCGCGGUAAUACGUAGAAGACUAGUGUUAUUCAUCUUUAAUAGGUUUAAAGGGUACCUAGACGGUAAAUCAAGCCUGCGAGGGGACUAGUUUACUAGAGUUACUUGCGAGGGGGUAUUAAAGUACUAAUGGUGUAGAGAUGAAAUUCUGUCAUACCUCUUUUCGGAAGAAAAACUAUGGCACAGGUAUAGGCGAAAGCAUCCCCUUAUGUGAUAACUGACGUUGAAGGACGAAGGCUUUGUGUCGCGAACAGGAUUAGAUACCCCAGUAGUCAAAGCAGAAAAUGAUGAAUGUCAUAGAUUAGGCAUAUAAUAGUUUAUUCUAUAAAUGAAAGUGUAAGCAUUCCACCUCAAGAGUAAUUUGGCAACAUUGGAACUGAAAUCAUUAGACCGUUUCUGAAACCAGUAGUGAAGUAUGUUGUUUAAUUUGAUAAUCCGCAAAAAACCUUACCACAACUUGAAUAUUUAUGUUUACUUUUUUAUAAAAAAAAUAUAUUUACAAGCGUUGCACGGCUGUCUUCAGUUAAUGUCGUGAGAUUUUGGUUAGUUCCAUUAAAUUAACGU
Molecule: ribosomal RNA, 639 nt
Filed under: Lecidella euphorea
Lineage: Eukaryota; Fungi; Ascomycota; Lecanoromycetes; Lecanorales; Lecanoraceae
Description: SSU rRNA
Rfam family: Bacterial small subunit ribosomal RNA
Source: RNAcentral